UGAUGAUCCAUGAUGGCCAACCUUCAUCCAUAUUCCAAACAUGACCUGAGGUUCGUGAAUCAGCAGGGUUGGCAUUCAGCACUCUCUACAUGACUGCUGGAAUGCAAGCAAUUGAUGAGAUUGUUCCUACACUUCUGCAUGCUCUGGAGGAAGAUCAAACCUCUGAUACUG
Ipomoea nil (Japanese morning glory) is the source of this 171-nucleotide long non-coding RNA. RefSeq lists it as uncharacterized. The record is from RefSeq and is a predicted model, not a curated record. The transcript is spliced from 3 exons. Lineage: Eukaryota; Viridiplantae; Streptophyta; Magnoliopsida; Solanales; Convolvulaceae.